Triticum aestivum (bread wheat) is the source of this 115-nucleotide non-coding RNA. The record is from Rfam. Lineage: Eukaryota; Viridiplantae; Streptophyta; Magnoliopsida; Poales; Poaceae.
CUACUACUCCCUCCGUUCCAAAUUACUCGUCAUAGAAGUGGAUGUAUCUAGAACUAAAAUACAUCUAGAUACAUCCAUACCUGCGACAAGUAAUUCGGAACGGAGGGAGUAUUUC